CCUACGGGUGGCAGCAGUGAGGAAUAUUGGUCAAUGGGCGAGAGCCUGAACCAGCCACGUCGCGUGAGGGAGUACUGCCCUAUGGGUUGUAAACCUCUUUUGGCGGGGAGAAAAAGCCGGCCGUAUCCGGCUGUGAGAGUACCCGAAGCAAAAGCAUCGGCUAACUCCGUGCCAGCAGCCGCGGUAAUACGGGGGAUGCGAGCGUUCUCCGGAUUUCUGGGGGUAAAUGGGUGCGCAGGCGGUUUUUUAAGUCAGCGGUCAAAUCGUGGGGCUAAACCCCAUCCAGCCGUUGAAACUGGGGAUCUAGAGUGUGCGAGAGGUAUGCGGAAUGCGUGGUGUAGCGGUGAAAUGCAUAGAUAUCACGCAGAACACCGAUUGCGAAGGCAGCAUACCGGUGCACAACUGACGCUCAGGCACGAAAGCGUGGGUAUCGAACAGGAUUAGAUACCCGGGUAGUC
This 458-nucleotide ribosomal RNA is filed under the name uncultured bacterium. Its description in RNAcentral is "partial 16S ribosomal RNA". It matches the Rfam family "Bacterial small subunit ribosomal RNA", at positions 338 to 795 of the family's 1533-position model. The record is from RNAcentral.